RNAcentral lists this ribosomal RNA (237 nucleotides) under uncultured bacterium. RNAcentral's name for it is "partial 16S ribosomal RNA". It matches the Rfam family "Bacterial small subunit ribosomal RNA", at positions 540 to 776 of the family's 1533-position model. The record is from RNAcentral.
GUUAUUCGGAAUUAUUGGGCGUAAAGGGCGCGUAGGCGGCUGUACAAGUCAAAGGUGAAAUCCCUCGGCUCAACUGAGGAACUGCCUUUGAAACUGUACGGCUUGAGGCCGGGAGGGGGUAGCGGAAUUCCCAGUGUAGCGGUGAAAUGCGUAGAUACUGGGAGGAACACCAGUGGCGAAGGCGGCUACCUGGACCGGUUCUGACGCUGAGGCGCGAAAGCGUGGGUAGCAAACAGG